RNAcentral lists this ribosomal RNA (253 nucleotides) under uncultured bacterium. RNAcentral's name for it is "partial 16S ribosomal RNA". It matches the Rfam family "Bacterial small subunit ribosomal RNA", at positions 524 to 776 of the family's 1533-position model. The record is from RNAcentral.
UACGUAGGGUGCGAGCGUUGUCCGGAAUUAUUGGGCGUAAAGGGCUCGUAGGCGGUCUGUCGCGUCAGGAGUGAAAACUCGGGGCUCAACCCCGAGCCUGCUUCUGAUACGGGCAGACUAGAGGUAUGCAGGGGAGAACGGAAUUCCUGGUGUAGCGGUGAAAUGCGCAGAUAUCAGGAGGAACACCGGUGGCGAAGGCGGUUCUCUGGAACGCAACUGACGCUGAGACGCGAAAGCGUGGGGAGCAAACAGG